CCUACGGGAGGCAGCAGUGAGGAAUAUUGGUCAAUGGACGAGAGUCUGAACCAGCCAAGUAGCGUGAAGGAUGACUGCCCUAUGGGUUGUAAACUUCUUUUAUAUGGGAAUAAAAUGUUCCACGUGUGGGAUUUUGUAUGUACCAUAUGAAUAAGGAUCGGCUAACUCCGUGCCAGCAGCCGCGGUAAUACGGAGGAUCCGAGCGUUAUCCGGAUUUAUUGGGUUUAAAGGGAGCGUAGGUGGAUUGUUAAGUCAGUUGUGAAAGUUUGCGGCUCAACCGUAAAAUUGCAGUUGAAACUGGCAGUCUUGAGUACAGUAGAGGUGGGCGGAAUUCGUGGUGUAGCGGUGAAAUGCUUAGAUAUCACGAAGAACUCCGAGUGCGAAGGCAGUUCACUGGACUGCAACUGACACUGAGGCUCGAAAGUGUGGGUAUCAAACAAGAUUAGAUACCCCGGUAGUC
Molecule: ribosomal RNA, 460 nt
Filed under: uncultured bacterium
Lineage: Bacteria
Description: partial 16S ribosomal RNA
Rfam family: Bacterial small subunit ribosomal RNA
Source: RNAcentral